Non-coding RNA from Myotis lucifugus (little brown bat), 75 nucleotides. The record is from Rfam. NCBI's taxonomy places the organism in Eukaryota, Metazoa, Chordata, Mammalia, Chiroptera, Vespertilionidae.
GGCAGUUCUUGAGUGACGCACCCCAGAAUCGGGCUCCCUGUUCUCUGGUUCCGGGUGCAUCACCCGAGAAUCGUC